Molecule: long non-coding RNA, 2704 nt
Filed under: Penaeus monodon (black tiger shrimp)
Lineage: Eukaryota; Metazoa; Arthropoda; Malacostraca; Decapoda; Penaeidae
Description: uncharacterized LOC119574691, transcript variant X1
Source: RNAcentral
GAAUUUUCUUUCUGAAUUCACCUCGACUUGGUCAUUCUCCAACAGUUCCAAGCAGUUUGCCCAUAGGCGAUCCCCCCCCAAGCUUAUUAGGCCCAGCAAGCAUUCCACAAGGAAAGGUACAAAACCAGGCAACAAAUCAUUCUUCAGAAGAAUAUGAUUGCACCAGACAAAAGUUGUCCUGCUCCUGGCACAACCAGCAACAUGCAGGAAAGACUCGGUCGUAACAUCGAGAGCUUAUACAAGCCCCCAUCACCACCUCGAUUCCAACUACCCUACACUCGAAGCAUGUCCAGGCAUGCCUCCCCUUUGCAAGACAGUCUGCAGGAUAUUAAGGUGUAUCCUGCCAGUGAGCCUUUAGAUAAUCUCUUUGAAUGAGUUCAGCAAAAUGAUAUACACAUAUGCCCUACACCUUUGUGUAUAUUAAGAAACUUAUUCCUGUACUUAUCUUAAGUCACAUUUACGAGUGUAAACAUUGUUUUUACUUCUGUGUUCUAUAUUUGGAGCUGCAUGAAGGCUAAAAUGUUGCAUGCAUUUCAGUUUCUUCCUUCUUUCCUUUCCUUUCCUUCCAAUUUUGUUUACACAAAUGACUUGACAAAUGCUUCAUCUCCAAGCAGCCAAUUACAUGAGCCACCUGACCCGUAUGAAAAGUAAAACAAAAAGCAAAAACACCGCUCAGUCAUCUUGAUUGCAGAUUAUCAAUAUGAAAGAGAAUAUUUCUGCUGCCAUUUCAUUGGAAAGAGAGUAAAGUUUUGAUAAUUUGCAAAAUGAUCUUGAUUCAUCUUUAUUAAUGGGAGCCCUAGCACCUUGUCAUUUGUUACCGGGCGCUAGAUAAUAUCGAGGUGUAAAAUAAUGACUUCACCUUUCCUGGAAAUCUUGCCAUUACAUUGUCUUUUCAGACUAUAUUUCAAAUUGGUGAAUAAAUUCUGUACUACUCCCGUACCCCCUUCCGUUGUGCCAGCAAAUAACCUGUUUUUAUGGUGCUAUUGAGUAUAGUUGCUUUUUCUUCUUCUUCUUCUUCUUCUUCUUAAUUUUCAUUUCAUUUCAUUUGUUACUAGACUGCAUCAUUAGGAGAUACAUUCUUUUCCUUGUAUGCUCAAACAGGCACAAGAAUCCAGUCAAACACUCAUUCCGAGGCACCCAUUUAUAUUCCCCAUGUGAGAUAUCUGUUGAUGGCAUUUUAGCCUUCAAUAACCCUCCUCCUCUUACUCUAGGAUGAUAUUUAUUGUGACAAAGUGAAAGUGGGUCCCUUCCUAGACUUCUGAUGUCUCCCUUGGGUCAGCUUGGAGCAUAUGGAAGGGGGUGAAGGGCAGAAAAGGGGAUUUUCUUUUCUUUUCUUUUCCUUAGGGUCAUGGUGGUACUCUCAAGCAGCUCCCAUAAAAAAUAUAAAUUAACUUCAAAAACGAGACUUAUAGUAUAUUCAUCAGUGGAAUUAUUAUUUUCUUAAGGAUCUUUAUUAAUGUUAGCUUUUAAUAUGUAAUUUUUAUUUCUAUGUGAUUUUAAGAAAAAUAUGUAUAUGAUUAAUUAGAAGAACUUAAUGGAACAGCAUAUUGCAGGUUAAUAUUUGCAUUUUAUGGCUGAUCUUUAUGUUAACAGGAAAAUGUUGAUUUGUUACAGAUUUUAGAGUUCAGGGGCGGUAUUCACAAAAUCCCACACUGAAUUUUGUCUGAGACAGAAAAAAGUCUUCGACUUUUUAAGAUUCUUUGUGACUAGCAAAAAUGUCCAUAACAAAUGGAGAUAUCCCACACAUUAUCAAGAUAUCUCUGCAUCAGUAAUAGUAAGAAAACUUUCCUAACACUUUUUUUUACUUCAUGUCAAAAGUUAAUUGGGACAUUUCCUCCUUGUUUACUGCAGUUUCCUCAUAGAUAAAUAUAAGCACUGUACACUGUCUGAGCUGAGGCAAUGACAGGUAUAUGAGUGCCAUGUAAUCAUGUAAAAGAUAUUAAAUAGGAAAUAUUUUAGUCAUUAUGUACUUGAGAUUCACUAGUGAUUUAAUCUCAUCAAGUCGCUAAUAUAGGGUCUUUUAACCCAAUACCACGGGAAAGUGCUGUGCUCAUCUUUUAUUUUUUCGUAAAAUGUCUGUGCACAUUGAUGGCCUGCUAGUACUUAGCCUCAAAGGAGUCAAUUAGUAAAACUUGUGACCUUACCCGAUUUCACCUUUCUUUGAAUCACGGGAUUUUUAUUUAUUCGUUUGUUUAUUUAUUUAUUUAUUAAUUAAUGCUAUGAAUAUUGGUGUUAUUUUUAUUAUAGACAUUAUAAUUAUUAUAAUAUCAUAAACAUUUAUAAGAGCAAAAUGAGAUAAUGUAAAAUAUUUUUGUAAAUCAAGGAAAAGAGUUAACGGGCCUGACAGGCAGUACUCAUAAUUGGUUCAUUGGUGACUUAGUACACCAAUGCCCGUUGGCAUUGGAUUAAAAUGUGAAUGUUUGUACUAACUAAAUCAUAACUACAAAAUGUGACGAAAGACCAAGUCAAAGACGAAAUCGCUAAGGACAACCGCUAAAACGAGUAAUAGACAAAUUCUAAGACGAAUUUGGAGUUGUUAGCCCAGUCCUUAAAUUUGCCAAAGACCUUUUGUGAAUACCGUCCCAGGUUUAUGGUGAGGACUGAAGACCCUUACGAAUAGCCUACAAAAUAGUUUAUUAAUGAUAUAGCCAGUGGUAGGUAUUAGAGAUGGAUUACAAUGAAAAACAACAUGACAACAGUGACA